AGGGGCAGCAGCUGGGCAGAAAAGAGAAUGACAAUUUUGCCAGGACAGCCCAAUGACCGUGUUGUGCCGUAUCCCUGUGGCCUCGUGCAGGGCUGGAGAGACUCAGCUAAUCUGCACCUUGAGGAUCCUCACCAAUAUGUGGAGUCAGAGCACGCUGCUGCCAGAGGACUUGCUAAGCCAUGGAAAUGUCACCAUAUGAAGUUGAGGAAAUUACAAGCAUGGAAAUAUAAGCAUGGCACAACACUCCGGUCAACUCCCAAAUCCCCAUUCUUCUUAUAAAUCAGGGAAAUUACAAUUUUUUUCUAACCAAAUGAGGCAUCAGAAUCAGUUCCAGCAUGUGAAUGUGUGCCCUAGAGAUCUCAACACCUUCAGAGCAAUGCAAGUACACACAACACCUAAAUUAGCUCUGAUAGCAUGCAAGGGAGCACGGAGGCAAAUUCCACAAAUCUGAAUCCUCCUUUCAACACAGCUAAUUCAAUCC
This 481-nucleotide long non-coding RNA is filed under the name Corvus moneduloides (New Caledonian crow). RNAcentral's name for it is "lncRNA (ENSCMUG00000018232.1)". The record is from RNAcentral. Lineage: Eukaryota; Metazoa; Chordata; Aves; Passeriformes; Corvidae.